UCCGAGUUGACCCCGGCGGUCUCCCGUGAGUCCCCAACCUCCGAAGAGUUACUGGCAACACGGGACAAGGGUUGCGCUCGUUGCGGGACUUAACCCAACAUCUCACGACACGAGCUGACGACAGCCAUGCACCACCUGUACACCGACCACAAGGGGGACCGUGUCUCCACGGUUUUCCGGUGUAUGUCAAGCCUUGGUAAGGUUCUUCGCGUUGCGUCGAAUUAAACCACAUGCUCCACCGCUUGUGCGGGUCCCCGUCAAUUCCUUUGAGUUUUAGCCUUGCGGCCGUACUCCCCAGGCGGGGCGCUUAAUGCGUUAGCUACGGCACGGACCCCAUGAAACAAGGACCCACACCUAGCGCCCAACGUUUACGGCGUGGACUAC
RNAcentral lists this unclassified non-coding RNA (384 nucleotides) under uncultured Actinomycetes bacterium. RNAcentral describes it as "uncultured actinobacterium contains 16S-23S intergenic spacer region". Lineage: Bacteria; Bacillati; Actinomycetota; Actinomycetes. The record is from RNAcentral.